RNAcentral lists this ribosomal RNA (429 nucleotides) under Gemmatimonadota bacterium. RNAcentral's name for it is "Gemmatimonadetes bacterium partial 16S ribosomal RNA". It matches the Rfam family "Bacterial small subunit ribosomal RNA", at positions 355 to 776 of the family's 1533-position model. Lineage: Bacteria; Pseudomonadati; Gemmatimonadota. The record is from RNAcentral.
UAGGGAAUCUUCGGCAAUGGACGAAAGUCUGACCGAGCAACGCCGCGUGAGUGAAGAAGGUUUUCGGAUCGUAAAACUCUGUUGUUAGAGAAGAACAAGGACGUUAGUAACUGAACGUCCCCUGACGGUAUCUAACCAGAAAGCCACGGCUAACUACGUGCCAGCAGCCGCGGUAAUACGUAGGUGGCAAGCGUUGUCCGGAUUUAUUGGGCGUAAAGCGAGCGCAGGCGGUUUCUUAAGUCUGAUGUGAAAGCCCCCGGCUCAACCGGGGAGGGUCAUUGGAAACUGGGGGGCUUGAGUGCAGAAGAGGAGAGUGGAAUUCCAGGUGUAGCGGUGAAAUGCGUAGAUAUAUGGAGGAACACCAGUGGCGAAGGCGGCUCUCUGGUCUGUAACUGACGCUGAGGCUCGAAAGCGUGGGGAGCAAACAGG